Molecule: long non-coding RNA, 200 nt
Filed under: Elaeis guineensis (African oil palm)
Lineage: Eukaryota; Viridiplantae; Streptophyta; Magnoliopsida; Arecales; Arecaceae
Description: long non-coding RNA (EGUI_LNC055941)
Source: RNAcentral
CCUCCAGAUCUCCUAUCACUUUGGAGUGUCCAAGGUGCUUGUAGAAGAAGGAAGAGGUCAACUGUCAAAAUUAUUCACAGACUAGCAUCUUCGAGCCCCUGAUCUACAUCAGUCUUCGCAUGGAUUUUUUUUGUAGAGGUCGGACAACUUCAUGUGGCUAUAAAUAAUAUGAGAAAUAUCUUCUUCAACUAUUAGAUCAG